AAAUCGGAGCGGACUCCCCACCGAAACUUAACGGGCCCAAACCAUAGAGGGCAUUGAAUAGAAGACCUCACACUAGAAAACUAUCCAAAACCCCACCGUUAAUCCCACACUGGCGUGCCCUCAGGGAAAGGUUAAAAGGAAAAGAAGGAACUCGGCAAACACCCACAAGCCUCGCCUGUUUACCAAAAACAUCGCCUCUUGUAAACCCCACAUAAGAGGUCCUGCCUGCCCAGUGACCCCUGGUUCAACGGCCGCGGUAUUUUAACCGCGCAAAGGUAGCGCAAUCACUUGUUCCUUAAAUGAGAACCAGUAUGAAUGGCUAGACGAGGGCUUAACUGUCUCCUUUUCCCAACCAAUGAAAUUGAUCUUCCCGUGCAGAAGCGGGAAUACUAACAUAAGACGAGAAGACCCUGCGGAGCUUUAGACGCCAGAACAGAUCACGUCAAAUACCUCUCUCAAACAGGUAACAACAAAUGAAUCCCUGUUCCCACGUCUUAGGUUGGGGCGACCACGGUGAACAGAAAAACCCCCGCGUGGACUGAGAGCAUAUUGCUUCUACAACCAUGAGCUACAGCUCUAAAUAACAGAACUUCUGACCAAAAGAUCCGGCAACGCCGAUUAACGGACCAAGUUACCCCAGGGAUAACAGCGCAAUCCUCUUUAAGAGUCCAUAUCGACAAGGGGGUUUACGACCUCGAUGUUGGAUCAAGACAUCCUAAUGGUGCAACCGCUAUUAAGGGUUCGUUUGUUCAACGAUUAAAGUCCUACGUGAUCUGAGUUCAGACCGG
This 788-nucleotide ribosomal RNA is filed under the name Mugil cephalus (flathead mullet). Its description in RNAcentral is "partial 16S ribosomal RNA". It matches the Rfam family "Bacterial large subunit ribosomal RNA", at positions 1538 to 2619 of the family's 2925-position model. Lineage: Eukaryota; Metazoa; Chordata; Actinopteri; Mugiliformes; Mugilidae. The record is from RNAcentral.